UACGUAGGGUGCAAGCGUUAAUCGGAAUUACUGGGCGUAAAGCGUGCGCAGGCGGUUUUGUAAGUCUGAUGUGAAAUCCCCGGGCUCAACCUGGGAAUUGCAUUGGAGACUGCAAGGCUAGAAUCUGGCAGAGGGGGGUAGAAUUCCACGUGUAGCAGUGAAAUGCGUAGAGAUGUGGAGGAACACCGAUGGCGAAGGCAGCCCCCUGGGCCAAGAUUGACGCUCAUGCACGAAAGCGUGGGGAGCAAACAGG
Molecule: ribosomal RNA, 253 nt
Filed under: uncultured bacterium
Lineage: Bacteria
Description: partial 16S ribosomal RNA
Rfam family: Bacterial small subunit ribosomal RNA
Source: RNAcentral